RNAcentral lists this transfer RNA (73 nucleotides) under Marmota monax (woodchuck). It matches the Rfam family "tRNA". Rfam says of the family: Transfer RNA (tRNA) molecules are approximately 80 nucleotides in length. Their secondary structure includes four short double-helical elements and three loops (D, anti-codon, and T loops). Further hydrogen bonds mediate the characteristic L-shaped molecular structure. tRNAs have two regions of fundamental functional importance: the anti-codon, which is responsible for specific mRNA codon recognition, and the 3' end, to which the tRNAs corresponding amino acid is attached (by aminoacyl-tRNA synthetases). tRNAs cope with the degeneracy of the genetic code in two manners: having more than one tRNA (with a specific anti-codon) for a particular amino acid; and 'wobble' base-pairing, i.e. permitting non-standard base-pairing at the 3rd anti-codon position. Lineage: Eukaryota; Metazoa; Chordata; Mammalia; Rodentia; Sciuridae. The record is from Rfam by way of RNAcentral.
UGGGAUAUAGUUCAGUUGGUAGAGUGCUUGCCUCGAAUGUACAAAGCCUUGGGUUCAAUUCCCAGCAUCCCAC